CAUACCGAGCACCCAGCUCAGCCUGCAAUUCUGAACCCUGGAAUUUCAAGAGGGCUCUCAAGGUGUCCAAACAUCCUCUUUCCUGCUGUUGUGAGCAAUCUCCAUUCAGGGCGACAGCUGGAAGGGAAAACCCGGAGUGUCAGCAGACCAGUCAGAAACUAAGGCCCUGAAAAAUGCAUUAAGGAGAUGGGCAGUUCUCAGAAGGACCCUCAACCCCUCGCCGGGAUAAGAUGCCUUGUUCCUGUCCAACUGAGAGGUUGUGAGAGGGAAAGUCCCACGGAGCUGCUGCCCAGGGAGCUGGCCUUGGGCGAAGGGAUCUUCCUGCCAAGCCAGUGCCAGGAAGAGUCCCGGCUCACCUCCCUCUGUGGCCCAAGCUGGAGCAGUGAUGAGUGCUGGGCUCUCCCAAGGCCUUUGUCUGUUCCAGGUGAGGGGCUGGGGUCCAGGAGGGGCACUGGGUCCUUGGAAAGGGAGAGGAAGAUGAAGGCAGGAAUGAAAAGAAACUGGCCUUCUGCACUCAAAAAGGCAUCUUUCCAUGCAGAAACAAUGCCAGACACACUCAGCCAUUUCAUCUUCGAUGAA
Heterocephalus glaber (naked mole-rat) is the source of this 579-nucleotide non-coding RNA. The record is from RefSeq and is a predicted model, not a curated record. Lineage: Eukaryota; Metazoa; Chordata; Mammalia; Rodentia; Bathyergidae.